RNAcentral lists this unclassified non-coding RNA (188 nucleotides) under uncultured Hyphodontia. RNAcentral describes it as "sequence contains ITS2". Lineage: Eukaryota; Fungi; Basidiomycota; Agaricomycetes; Corticiales; Corticiaceae. The record is from RNAcentral.
AAUCAUCAAUCUAACAUUGCUUUUGUGAUGUGUGAUUGGAUUUGGAGACUGCUGGUCUAACGACUGGCUUCUCUUGAAUGCAUUAGUAGAAUUGAGUUACGGCGCUACGUGUAGUGUGAUAAUAUCUUCACUGCAUAGUUGUAAUGAAGUUUUGCUUCUAACAGUCCUUCGUUGGACAAUACUUGACC